CGGAGGAUCAUCUGGCUUGGGACUGGGCAGCAGAUUGGGGGUGAUAGGGAGAUGUCUCCAAGUCGGUCUCUAAGUAGGAUGUUUGUAGGUAGAGGGAAAAGGGCACGCGGUGACCCAGUAGAGGGUUCAGAUUGAGUUCCAGUGCGUUCUGAAGAUAAGGAGGGGAACAGGGCCCAGGAGGCCACACUGGAGAGGCUGAGGGUGGCCGUCACUGCGUCCCAAGGAACACCAGGGCCCAACCUGGGUCUUUGUCUGUCCGUCUCUGCCACCCUUCCUCCCGGGCCUGGGAUCUCAUGCAGGAAGUAUCAAGCACUCUGGGCCCAGACCAGCUCUUCCAAGGGAGCGUCAGGGUCCAUCUGGUCCAGUUUGGCCCCCACGGCGUCUUCGGCUUCAUCAUCCCCAGAGCAGAUGUGCUCAGCUCCUUUCUUCUCGGACCACCUGAAGCCAGUCCCCAGCUGCAAAGACAUUAUCGGACCUCAGGCCCAAAGCAGCCCGGCCCCCA
RNAcentral lists this long non-coding RNA (502 nucleotides) under Cercocebus atys (sooty mangabey). Its description in RNAcentral is "lncRNA (ENSCATG00000045516.1)". Lineage: Eukaryota; Metazoa; Chordata; Mammalia; Primates; Cercopithecidae. The record is from RNAcentral.